UGGUUCUGGCAUCGAUGAAGAACGCAGCGAAAUGCGAUAAGUAAUGUGAAUUGCAGAAUUCAGUGAAUCAUCGAAUCUUUGGACGCACAUUGCGCCCGCCAGUAUUCUGGCGGGCAUGCCUGUUCGAGCGUCAUUUCAACCCCUCAGGCCCUGGUGCCUGGCGCCGGGACGUUCCCUCGCGGGAAGCCCCCAGAGACAGCGGCGGACCAGUCGCGGCUCCGAGCGCAGUAGUAACAUUCUCGCUUAGGAGGUCUGCGGCGGGCUCCCGGCCGUAAAACCCAGCCCCUCAAAAGGCUGACUUCUCAAGGUUGACCUCGGAUCAGGUAGGAAUACCCGCCGA
RNAcentral lists this unclassified non-coding RNA (340 nucleotides) under uncultured fungus. Its description in RNAcentral is "partial contains 5.8S ribosomal RNA and internal transcribed spacer 2". The stretch from base 1 to 133 matches the Rfam family "5.8S ribosomal RNA", at positions 22 to 154 of the family's 154-position model. Lineage: Eukaryota; Fungi. The record is from RNAcentral.